Small nuclear RNA from Nomascus leucogenys (northern white-cheeked gibbon), 164 nucleotides. Its record names the gene U1. It matches the Rfam family "U1 spliceosomal RNA". From Rfam's summary of the family: U1 is a small nuclear RNA (snRNA) component of the spliceosome (involved in pre-mRNA splicing). Its 5' end forms complementary base pairs with the 5' splice junction, thus defining the 5' donor site of an intron. NCBI's taxonomy places the organism in Eukaryota, Metazoa, Chordata, Mammalia, Primates, Hylobatidae. The record is from Ensembl.
AUACUUACCUGGCAGGGGAGAUACCAUGAUCAUGAAGGUGGUUUUCCCAGGGCGAGGCUUAUCCAUUGCCCUCUGGAUGUGCUGACCCCUGCGAUUUCCCCAAAUGUGGGAAACUCGACUGCAUAAUUUAUGGUAGUGGGGGACUGCGUUUGCGCUUUCCCCUG